Molecule: long non-coding RNA, 1272 nt
Organism: Cyprinus carpio (common carp)
Lineage: Eukaryota; Metazoa; Chordata; Actinopteri; Cypriniformes; Cyprinidae
Source: Ensembl
GUGAGAAUGUAGUUGUUUAAACUUUAAAUAUGCAGUUUGUUCAUAAAGAUAACGUCUAUUUGAAAAUUUGCUUUAGCAUUUUUGGAGAUGUGAGCUCCAGGGCAUCAGCAGCUGUUCAGCACUCAUGGACCCACCUAGAACAGCUUCUCCUGAGCUGCUGGCUCAAAUGUCUCUACACUAAAAUAUAACUGAUGAUCUUGUUUUGAAUAAGUUUAUGGAACUUACUAAGUUUAACCAAGUAAUCUGAAAGUUUUAGCACAGAAAGUUAUUAAACUAAGUGGAUUCAAGUAUGCAGUACUUAAAAUAAUGAGUAUUUUUAACGUUUUUGAGUGUUCAUUCCACCAAUAUGUGGAGUCAAUCUGCAACGUAAUUCUGACGGGAGAAGCACAUGGAAAGCAGUUCUUCAUGGCCUUUCUCUCAGAGAAGAAACCUAUGACAUUUUUCAAAACAAUGUUGGACUGUGAAUGUGUCAUGCCCCAGAUUUCCAUCUGAUUCUGACUGUGUUGACAGCCGGGAAUCUCCAUUUGGAUGGUUUUUUCAGCUCAAGUACAACUUUGAUUUUAUUCUUCAACUUUGAGUCUUUAUUUCCAUUGGACACAAAUCUCUAAAACCAAAACUACAGUCACUAAAAAUCUGCUGUUGAUGAAAGUCAAGGAUGUUUGAGAUUUAGAAAACCCAAAAUUGUUAAUUCUGUCAUUUUGCUCAUUCCAAGAUAAUUUUUUUUUUUUUUUUUUUUUUGACCUUUUGGGUUUUGAAACACAAAUCAAGUAUUUUUAAUGGAAUCUGAGAGGUUUCUGUCCUUUUGUUGACAGUCCAGGUAACCAAAACUUAAAAUAUAUUAAAAAGUUCAUUAAGGUGAAUUUAAACAAAUCGUAUACACUCAAUUAAAAUCUGAAGAAAUUAAAAUCUUUUGGUUACCUGGACUUUAAGUGAAGGAACAGACGUCUCUAAGGUUUCCUUAAAAGUAGUCUUUGAAAGACAAAAACUAAUAUUGUAACUAAUAUCUCCAAAUCAGCGUAGCGCCAUUUUGACAAAUCUGAGCAGUACGCAGGUGGUGUAAGCUCUUCUGUGCCAGCAGCACUGCGCUGAUGCGCUGUUUCAUUCAAACUAAAGCGUAAAUACAUGUAAAAAACGUAUUCUUGUGGCGCAGCUGACACAGAAGAGCGAAUGCCGCCUGCGUACUGCUCAGAAUUGUCAAAAUGGCGUUACGCUGAUUUUGAGAGACAGAGGAGAGGAAUUGUUGAAUAAAGUCUUUUUUUUUCUUUGUGUACA